Molecule: ribosomal RNA, 231 nt
Filed under: Triticum aestivum (bread wheat)
Lineage: Eukaryota; Viridiplantae; Streptophyta; Magnoliopsida; Poales; Poaceae
Description: partial small subunit ribosomal RNA
Source: RNAcentral
AUGUCUGUGUGGAUCAAGGCGGUGGUGGACAUGUUCGUGAAGGAGCUGCAGGGGGCACUAGACGCGGACAUCCAGGACCUCAUCAUGAAGGAGCAGGAGAUACAGAGCUACAUCCAGGAGCGCGAGCGCGAGGUUGCCGAGAGGGAGGCCGCCUGGAAGGCCGAGCUCUCCACCCGCGAGGUAGUAAUCCAACCCCCAUACUCCUCCUUAUCUCCUUUCCCACCAUUUUGA